Molecule: ribosomal RNA, 301 nt
Filed under: uncultured bacterium
Lineage: Bacteria
Description: partial 16S ribosomal RNA
Rfam family: Bacterial small subunit ribosomal RNA
Source: RNAcentral
CAGUAGCCGCGGGAAUACGGAGGGUGCAAGCGUUAAUCGGAAUUACUGGGCGUAAAGCGCACGCAGGCGGUUUGUUAAGUCAGAUGUGAAAUCCCCGAGCUUAACUUGGGAACUGCAUUUGAAACUGGCAAGCUAGAGUCUUGUAGAGGGGGGUAGAAUUCCAGGUGUAGCGGUGAAAUGCGUAGAGAUCUGGAGGAAUACCGGUGGCGAAGGCGGCCCCCUGGACAAAGACUGACGCUCAGGUGCGAAAGCGUGGGGAGCAAACAGGAUUAGAUACCCCGGUAGUCCCUGUCUCUUAUAU